GACGGACGCUGGCGGCGUGCUUAACACAUGCAAGUCGAACGGAAAGGCCCCAGCUUGCUGGGGUACUCGAGUGGCGAACGGGUGAGUAACACGUGGGUGAUCUGCCCUGCACUCUGGGAUAAGCCUGGGAAACUGGGUCUAAUACCGGAUAGGACCGUGCUUUAGUGUGUGCGGUGGAAAGUUUUUCGGUGCAGGAUGAGCCCGCGGCCUAUCAGCUUGUUGGUGGGGUAAUGGCCUACCAAGGCGGCGACGGGUAGCCGGCCUGAGAGGGUGUACGUCCACAUUGGGACUGAGACACGGCCCAGACUCCUACGGGAGGCAGCAGUGGGGAAUAUUGCACAAUGGGCGCAAGCCUGAUGCAGCGACGCCGCGUGGGGGAUGACGGCCUUCGGGUUGUAAACCCCUUUCGGCAGGGACGAAGCUUUUGUGACGGUACCUGCAGAAGAAGCACCGGCUAACUACGUG
This 465-nucleotide ribosomal RNA is filed under the name uncultured bacterium. RNAcentral's name for it is "partial 16S ribosomal RNA". It matches the Rfam family "Bacterial small subunit ribosomal RNA", at positions 28 to 507 of the family's 1533-position model. The record is from RNAcentral.